GAUGAACGCUAGCGAUAGGCUUAACACAUGCAAGUCGAGGGGCAGCACAAGGUAGCUUGCUAUCUGGGUGGCGACCGGCGCACGGGUGCGUCACGCGUAUGCAACUUGCCCUAUACAGGAGGAUAACCCGUCGAAAGACGGACUAAUACUGCGUAUGCUCACAACUUGGCAUCAAGUGGUGAGGAAAGAAAUUCGGUAUAGGAUAGGCAUGCGUCCCAUUAGCUUGUUGGUGAGGUAACGGCUCACCAAGGCAACGAUGGGUAGGGGAACUGAGCGGUUUACCCCCCACACUGGUAACGAGACACGGACCAGACUCCGACGGAAGGGAGCAGUGAGGAAUACUGGUCAAUGGGCGCGAGCCUGAACCAGCCAAGUCGCGUGAAGGAGGCCUGUCUUAUGGAUUGUAAACUUCUUUUAAACGGGAAAAACAAGAGUCACGGGUGACUCCCUGCAUGUACCGUAUGAAUAAGCAUCGGCUAACUCCGUG
Molecule: ribosomal RNA, 487 nt
Filed under: uncultured bacterium
Lineage: Bacteria
Description: partial 16S ribosomal RNA
Rfam family: Bacterial small subunit ribosomal RNA
Source: RNAcentral